Parus major (Great Tit) is the source of this 1490-nucleotide long non-coding RNA. RefSeq lists it as uncharacterized. The record is from RefSeq and is a predicted model, not a curated record. NCBI's taxonomy places the organism in Eukaryota, Metazoa, Chordata, Aves, Passeriformes, Paridae. The transcript is spliced from 2 exons.
GAACACUCCCAGCACAGAUGGGAAUUGAGAAACCUUUUUUACCGCACUGAGGAUUGGUAGCUAGACAAGGGAUACAGAAUGCAAAACACUUCAGCAGGGAGUGGUUGAGACAUCUGGUCACGAGUCAGUCCUCAGCGCUGGUCCAUGGACAAAUUGGAGUAGCAUCGGAUAUCCAGAAGAGGGCACUUGUGGCUCUCCAGUCUGUCUGCUCAACCCAAAACCCUGUCUGCACAACAAACUUCUUGGGACUGGGGGGGAAAAGGCUGGAGAGACUCUUAUCUUAAAUGAGCUGAAGUACUAAUAAGCAAUUAUGGGUUAUGCGUAGCAUCAGUUGGAAGAUUUGCUUGCAGGUUUCUGCUAUCAAUGGGCAUAUUUAUCACACCAGCUGCUAUCAAAAAAGAACACCACCAUUCAAGUGCUUUCAGAACUGCAGCUGAUGGCUGCAGAAAGCCACCCUUGCACCAAAAUGACUAAAAGCAUUUUCUGCUAAAAGUUUAGUCCAACCUAUUAUGUUAAUAAGUAUUUAGACAGUGACUCUGGGUGCUUGGGGGAAAGAAAAAUUCUAUUUCUUUAUUUGUUGUAGAGGAAAGAAAAAGAAUAAAAUGUUGAUGGAAUGUUGUACUUGAUGCAAUAUAAUUGAGAUCUCACAUGGAAAAUAAGCUACAAAAAAAUUUGACUGUUAAAGUUUUUAAACUCCAGCUAAUUAUGCCUUUGAAAACAAAGUAGGUGUUUGAGUGUGAUAGAUGGAGGUGGUGUUUAUUGAUCACUUAGCAUUGAAACCAUGACACCUAAGUUCUAGUAUCUGAACAGAGCAGUCAAAUUUGCUUUUGAAGAGUCAAAUCAAGAAGACUGAGACACUUUAACUUCUAUGCCUAAUGGAUGAGCCAUAAAAUAUGGUAACUUCUGAGAGAGAUUAUCAAUGUGUAUGAAGUUAGAGGAAAAAACCUAAUCUGAUCUUUUCCCUCAUAGAAGCACAUUUGGUAGUAGAACCAUUUUGAAAGUGCCUAUGUUGCAAAAAACCAUAGUAUUUAGUACACAAAAUUAAAUUAUUUGAAAAGUAAUUUCCAGUUAAAUAGUUUUCUUUUUUUUUUAAAUUAGGAAAGUUCCUAUGAAAAAUUAUAACUGAACUGAAUGAGACCCUGUGUUACUGUGCAAAAUCCUGACCGCCAAUAAACCCCUCUUCCAAGGGGUGCUGAAGCUUUAUAACCAUAUUUACCUCCACUGUUUUGCUGGAACUAACAGGACUGACUUCUUGUUUACAUAUCUUGUGUCAUGUGCAGCAUUCUGAAGGCUGGAGUUUAACAGUCUCCUGGGCUUCAGAAAAACAUUUUUUAAAACUACUUGUAAUGCCAAAAAUGUGUUUGUUUUACAUACAUACUUUGUUAAACUUUAGUGGAGUCGGUGUAGUGACAAAUCUUGAGAGGUAGAAAGCAAUCAUUCCAACCUGUAUUGACACCAUUUAGUUUCCAAUAAAUGAAUGUCUUUUACAA